AGCACCUCCAACUUCCCCUCUCUCCUCAGCUGCCUUAAAGGCAUGCAAGUCGGCCUCCAGUUUGAAGGUCUUAUAAGCAUUUUUUGAGUGUCCUGACCCAGUAAUUAAAAAGCAGCUUGUGAAUCCUAUCUGAGCUGGUGUGAAGGACUUCUUAAAUGAUGACCCUGGCAAUGAACGACUACCUGUGACUCUCCUCCUUGCCAGACCCAUGGAGGACCAUGGUGGAGCAGUGAUGCAAGUGCAGCCCAUGGAAGAUUCCAUGCCAGAACAGAUGGAUGUCUAUGGACCUCCCAGAGCAGGGGGAUGUGGGUAAGGAAAGGUGGGUAUUCACAGUUUACAUGCAGAAGCCUCAUGGGUGGGGUUGCAAACCCUGGUGCUGUCCAGCAUUGUGUUGCACCCCUGUAACAACACCCCUGCAUUGCAAGUGUGUGGUCUGUCACAAGCACCUACCUCCAAACAGACAGGGACAAAAAAAUGAACAAAGGGCAAAGCAAUGAACAGUGCAUCAGCUGCCAUGGAAGACUCGCUGCUGAUGGUUCAGGAGUGCCAGAGUUUGGAAUUGCUGGGAAAGCCAACAGGGCCAUGAAUGCCUUGAGUGUUAUCUCUGAGUAAGGGAGGGCAGAGCACCUGGCUCAGAGAAAUUUUUGGUUUAAUUUAAGAGCUUUUAUAGAGCUUUUAUAGAUAGGUUUUAAAUUUCAGAAGCAUGAUUUCAGUGAAGCGAUAGGGGUGAAAGCCUAUGAAAAUGAGAAGCAAAGGUUAAUGGUUUUGGUUGUAGACCAUGAUGUUUUGGAACUGAAGACAAGAAAGUUUUGAGAAGUGCUGUGCUUCAUAAUUAACUGAGGAAUUUUAAACUAAUGCAUACUCCUUGUUACAUUUAAAAAUAUUACAGACAUAAUUUUCCAGUGGAAAGCUUUUGUUAUUUGGUAUUUUAUUUCAGCUCAACAUGGUCAAUGCAGUGUGAUAGUAAAAUAUCAAUAUGAAAUUCAUACAAAAUAAAGACUGGUGGACAAAUGACAUGACAAAUGGAAAUGUUAUUAACAUGCUAUUAAUAUACAUAAGAUGCAAGAAUAAAUCUUCAUUAAGUCAUUAUAUUGUAAAGAAUGAAGAAAUUUUGUUAAGUUCAUUGCAACAGUAUUAAAUGUUUAGUGGGAUAUCCAGAGAACGAAAAAUUUAAAAUGUAGAAAAUGAAAUUUUGGUGGAAGAACAGAAGCUUUCUCAAAGAAAAGCUGUAGACCAAGAUUCUUGGUCUUAGACCAAGAGUAAAUUGAUAAGGAUCAAUAUGGUAAACUAGUAAAAAACCUAACUUUAAGACGUCUUCAGUGGCUUAAGAUAAAUGUAAUGCAGAUAAGAAUCUAUGUUCUUAUAGAUAAGGAGAACUUGGCAAUUUUUCCUAAAGAUGUAUUAUUCUUUUUCUCAUUAAAACAGUGAAAAUUACAUCCAUUUCAUCAAUUUCCUUACAAACCUCAGAAAUAAAGCUCACACUUGGUAUUUGCAGUUGAUCUAGCUCUGGUGUUUAUUGAUUCUUUAGUAAUAUUUUUAGUUAAAAAAGUAAAAUUUGUCAGAAAAUAACUUGGGAUUCUUUCCUUUCUGAAGGUAAUAUUUUCAGAAGACAUGCCCUAUUGACAUUGGAGUGACACUGAAACAGCUUCGUUUAUAUCCAUUCAUUAGUAUAAACAUCAAACUUAUACUCAUUUGUUUAAGUUGUAAUCGUAUGUCUGUUUUUCAUUUACAAUUACUCUUACACAGUUACAUCCCCAUACAAAUGAUAAUCCACAUUACCUGACUUUGUAUUACAAAGCUAUUCCAGCAAAAAAAAUGG
This is a long non-coding RNA of Parus major (Great Tit), 1819 nucleotides long. RefSeq lists it as uncharacterized. The transcript has 3 exons. NCBI's taxonomy places the organism in Eukaryota, Metazoa, Chordata, Aves, Passeriformes, Paridae. The record is from RefSeq and is a predicted model, not a curated record.